Molecule: long non-coding RNA, 1031 nt
Filed under: Lonchura striata (white-rumped munia)
Lineage: Eukaryota; Metazoa; Chordata; Aves; Passeriformes; Estrildidae
Description: domestica (Bengalese finch) lncRNA (ENSLSDG00000010416.1)
Source: RNAcentral
AUCACCGUUGGAGCACCCAGUGGUUCAUCCCUCUCUUCCCUAUUGUUCCUUCUUUUGCAGAUGUUUAUGGAUCUCAGAGGCACGUGGUGCCGAGAGAGGAUCAGCGUGUUUCCCAAGGCUGCAGCAGAGCCGGGCCCCACAGCCACUCAGAGCAUAUCUCCUGCUCCCAGCCUGGAUCUUUUUGGGGACAGAGUCGUCUCCAGUCCAAGCCAAGUAAGCAGCUUGUGGCUAGGGCUGGGUGUCCCCAGGAAUUGGGUGGUGCUCAAGCCAGUUCCACUGGGCCUUCUCAGCCUUUGAGGCCCAGCCCAAUGUGGUGGGAAGGGCAGCACUGCUCAGGGGAAGCUGCUGCUGUGGCAGCUCUUCGAGUCUCCCCACGCCUUCUGCAGGUGCCAGGCUUUGUUAGGAACAUGCACCAGAGGCUUGUGUCCAAUGGGCCUCCAGACGAGUGGCUGCUCAUGGACAUCCUGAGGCUGACUGAGGCACACCCCACCGAUGUUGCAGUGACCCUCCUGCGCUGUGCCCCAUCGUGUGACAGAGGUGCUGCAAUCAUGUGGAAGAACAUAGCCUCAUCAGGAACAACACUGAAAAAGGUGCUGCCAACACUGCUUUGUGUGAUGGAGGGCUGGCCACUGCAGAAAAUGUACACCUCUGAUGGGGACACUGAGGAUGUGUUUUCCCUGGCUGCAACCAGGGUGCUUUGGGAGAUUCUCCGCCUGCCCUGGUGCCCAGAGCCAUUUGUGGAAUAUUUCCCCAAUCUCUUUGUGGCUCUGCUCUUCCAAGUUUACCUCAGUACAGAGCAGGUAUCAGAGGACAUAAAUGCUUUAUGGAAAAGAUGUCAGGAGGAAAAUUGCCUUCCCGCCAAUAUCAACAGAUUUGUAGUGAACACUGUGAAGGCACUGCUGCACCACCUGCGUUGUCUGGAUUUACUGAUGGCAGUGGAACGCAGGUGUGCCUGGGACACGCUGCUCUGUGCCGACACCCACCACUAUGCAGUGGGUCUGCUGGCCAGGUGAGACCUCAUUCUCCCCACC